This 2713-nucleotide long non-coding RNA is filed under the name Mus musculus (house mouse). Its description in RNAcentral is "predicted gene, 37245". Lineage: Eukaryota; Metazoa; Chordata; Mammalia; Rodentia; Muridae. The record is from RNAcentral.
AGAUUCGUCGAACCAGAGAUGAGAGAUGGACUCUGCCUAGAUAUUUUCCCCCUGGUGUUUUGAUGGUUCUUGGAACAGAGUAAGCUCUCAUCAUUUGUUGAGUGAAUUCAUGAAUGGCUUUUGUUAAGCAGAACUGGUGACUCAAUAUCACAGUCUUCUGGAACAAGAGAACUUGGCUUUGUGGCUGUUACAAAUGAGACAUUUCUUACAAAAUUGGAGCUGGAAGCUAACAAGUCCAAAUGAUCCCAUCUUCCUACCCUGCUUGGACCUGGGCUUGGUACAUGGUUGACGGAGUGCUGAGGAAGCAGAGCCAACCAAGGUGGUGCCGGUAAAAUAAGAGGAUCCAGAAGAAAAUGGUAUCAUGAAAGCAAAAAGAAAGUUAAUUAUAUUAAAUGCUGCUAUAAUAUCAAGAAAUUGAAAUGACUAUUGAAUGUGGUAGCAUGGACAUUAUCCAUCUACAUGCCUGACAUUUUUGACAUGCUUGUAGGUAGGAAAUGUAACAUAACCAAAAAUGUACUUCUGAUUUCUCUUUCAUCAAAUUAUACUGCACUCAUAACUAAAAAAAAUAAGUAGACAUAUAAAAGUUCAUCAUCUUUGAUAUUAGUUAGGCAUUAUCCUGUAUUCCUUUCCCCAUCAACUUUUAGAGUCUACUAGCAAGUCCUAUUUAUUAUCUUUCACCUCAAAUAUCCCCAGUUUCUUUUUUUUUAAAGAUUUAUUUAUUAUUAUAUUUAACUACACUGUAGCUGUCUUCAGAUGCACCAGAAGAGGGUGUCAGAUCUCAUUACGGAUGGUUGUGAGCCACCAUGUGGUUGCUGGGAUUUGAACUCAGGACCUUCAGAAGAGCAGUCGGUGCUCUUAAUCACUGAGCCAUCUCUCCAGCCCCUCCACCCCCAGUUUCUUUCAAGUCCAUUAGUCCUUGUCAUUAUCAUCCAAGAUACACCAUGACAAAGUUUUUCUUUUUUCUUUUUUUUAAAGAUUUAUUUAUUUUUAUAUAUACGAGUAUACUGUGGCUGUCUUCCGAUACACCAGAGGAAGGCAUCCGAUCCAAUUACAGAUAGUUGUGAGCCACCUUGUGGUUGCCUGGAAUUGAACUCAGAGUGUCUGGAAGAGCAGUCAGUUUUCUUAACCUUGGAGACAUCUCUGCAGCCUGACAAAGUCUUCUUUACUCUUUCUUUUUCAUUUCAAAAUCUACUGUAUAUAAAUAACAUCAGCCUGAAGUUUUAAAAUGUAAAUUAGAGCAGUGGCUCUUUUUUAUAACACACUUCCCAUUUCUCCAUUUUCUAUUUGUCUUUGAGAUUUGAUAUCCAUUUACUUUGAUUUCAUUUUGUACCUCUCCUCUUUCUCACUAGACUGUACAAAUUGACCUUUCAGCUCAGAAUUAUGUAGUGUCUUUUCUGUUCCUGUUUGUUAUUUCCUCAGGACCUUAUGCUCUUACUUUCUUUUUUUAUUCAUCUUGCUCUACAUAGAUGACUUUGCUUUGAGGUCUACAUUACGUUCAAAUGCUGCCUUCUACAUUAUUUCCUACUUAGACAGUUUGACACAUUUAUUUUUUUAAGUACUUUAUUUUCAUCUGAAAUUAAUUUAGCAUCAUCUCACUAAAAACUAUGUAAGCUCUGUGGGAGCAGGGAUUUUUGUCUGCUAAAUACUGUAAUCUCAGAAUUUAGAUUAGGUCCUAAUAGAUACCUGUCAAUAUUUAUUGCCUGAAUGAACAAAUAAAUCUUUCAAUCUUUGUAGUAUCUUCCUAAUUUUUCUUAUAACAACUGUUCACAUUUUAUCUAUGUGCUUAGCAUAUCAUUCAAAUCCAUGUACACAUUAUACAUAUUAUGUGUAAUUAUGGUUGUUAUUUUUAUGGGACAGUCUCAAAUGUUAGUGAGUUUUUGGUUUUAUUUUAGUUUUAAAAACUGUGUGUGUGUGUGUGUGUGUGUGUGUGUGUGAGAGAGAGAGAGAGAGAGAGAGAGAGAGAGAGAGAGAGAGAGAGAGUGCAAAUGUGGGCCAUGACAUACAUGUGGAGGUCAGAGGACAGCCUUGAGUGUCUAUUCAUGCCAUGUACUUUAACACAGGGUCUCUUGUCAUUCACCACUGUGUAAGCCAAGUUAGCUGUUUUUAACCAUGGGUUCUUCUUUUGAAGAAUGUUUUUUUUUAAGGAACUAUUUUACAUUAAAUACUCUUUGAAGCAUUUAAAAAACAUGGACAUAAGUCCAUGGUUUUGCUUUAAAAUCAGUAUUAGCUUCUAUUGCAUUCUCCUUCUCUCUCCUGAGCCCUCCUUUUGUCUCCAGAGUUCUUGGGUUUUUUUUUCUUUCUUUCUAGUGAUUCUAUAUAUGUUGUUUAAAAUUUAUGAUUUAUCUGAUGCUCUUCAGGAGACUCUUAGGAUUCUGCUCUUACAAUGGGCAGAUUUCUAGGUCUUGUUCAUUAUUAGAUUACUAAAAUUUAUCUGUUGAUUAUGUGAUUUAGAAUAUAUGAAGACUAUAGGCUAUAAUAAAAUAGUGGGAAAGUCUAGCAGUGAUAAAUGUUAAAGUAUGAGUUUAGGAAUAACAGUAUGGGUAGAAAAUGUGAAGUUUACUAUCUCUGUCUUUAUUAUCUCUGUAUAUGAAAGAUAUUGUAUAUAUGUGUAUAUGUGGUAAUAUAUCAUACAUGAGGUAAUAUAUAAAAUGUAAUGUAGUAUACAAAAAAGUCUAUGCAGGAUUUUCACUUGAUUUAUAAAAUAUAAUAUCUG